GAUGAACGCUGGCGGCGUGCCUAAUACAUGCAAGUCGAGCGAACAGAUAAGGAGCUUGCUCCUUUGACGUUAGCGGCGGACGGGUGAGUAACACGUGGGUAACCUACCUAUAAGACUGGGAUAACUUCGGGAAACCGGAGCUAAUACCGGAUAACAUUUGGAACCGCAUGGUUCUAAAGUGAAAGAUGGUUUUGCUAUCACUUAUAGAUGGACCCGCGCCGUAUUAGCUAGUUGGUAAGGUAACGGCUUACCAAGGCGACGAUACGUAGCCGACCUGAGAGGGUGAUCGGCCGCACUGGAACUGAGACACGGUCCAGACUCCUACGGGAGGCAGCAGUAGGGAAUCUUCCGCAAUAGGCGAAAGCCUGACGGAGCAACGCCGCGUGAGUGAUGAAGGGUUUCGGCUCGUAAAACUCUGUUAUUAGGGAAGAACAAAUGUGUAAGUAACUGUGCACGUCUUGACGGUACCUAAUCAGAAAGCCACGGCUAACUACGUG
Molecule: ribosomal RNA, 497 nt
Filed under: uncultured bacterium
Lineage: Bacteria
Description: partial 16S ribosomal RNA
Rfam family: Bacterial small subunit ribosomal RNA
Source: RNAcentral